UGGCAUAGGCCAUCAGGGUUGAGGCUGAAGGAUGUUUCUGACAGGAAAAGACAUCGGUCAAGGGAGAGGUCACCCAGCCGGUCCCGAGAGAGUAGCAGAAGGCACCGAGACUUGCUUCAUAAUGAAGACCGACAUGAUGAUUAUUUCCAAGAAAGGAACCGGGAGCAUGAGAGACACCGGGAUAGAGAACGGGACCGGCACCACUGAGAAAGGAGUCUGGGUGGAAGCAAAUUGUUUUUAAUGGACUUGCAUCUCCUCACCUUGAUCAGGACUAAAGGACGGAGGCCGCUCCACCCCUUCCCCUUCUUCCAAACCCCUAACUUCCUCCAGGCAAAACCCUCUGCCCUGCAGGAUUGAAGAUGGCUUGGCAGCCCUCCCAAUCCCACACCUUCUGUUUGCCAUGGGGGAAGAACCUAAAGACUUGCUGGGGUAGUGAACGAGGGCAUACAGGAAGACAGCAACAUGUCCAGCCCAUAGUCUCCAUAGAGAAUGGUGCUUUGUCCAAGGAAACCUGAGUUUCUGAUUGCCCAGAAGCAGUCAGUGGUGAGGUUACUAUGAGAAAAUUUCCUUCCCAGAGAAAAUGGAUCCUCUAUGUGGGGUCUUAGGAAAGUGACUGGGUGUGCCAAAAAUGCCCAGGGUUCUGCCCUCAGUACUAGAUUUGAUGGGGCCAAAAGGGUCCAAACCCUGCUAACAUACCACUUUGUUCAACUCCUGUACUUUCCUAGCCAGUUGAGGAGGGACCAUGAGAACAGAAACUACCUUGUGACAAGAAACGUGUUCUCAGUUUUCUCCUCACGUGUUGAUGGUUUAUUUCCAUGGCCUCCUAGAGGGCUGAAUCCUUUUGACUCCUUACUAUCUGACUCCUCAGUGGACUUGCCCCUCUGAAACAGAACCCAGGAAGCUUCGGCUAUCUGCCGGAAGCCUAGGCCAGCCAGAUACCACCAUUUGCUGCUUUAGGCUUGUCUGUUUGUUGCAAUAACCAGCUCUUAGGUAUUUCCUUUCCCCAAGGCUUUCCAUUUAACAUGGAAUCCUUCCCCAAGAAGGCUUCUUCCUUGUUUUAGAGGAAGGUACUGCCUUUGGGACUUAGGGAUGUCAUGGGACCUCAGUAACUAGGACCCCUAGUUAAUAAAGUACCAGAAGUGUGGAGAAGAGAGCAAUUUGAGCAGUAUGUAGCCUACUCACAUGGGCUCUUUUGCAGGUUAAUGUGAGCAUAGGCUUGCAUUUCCAAGGUACAUACUUUGACUUAACUGUGGAAUAACUCAGCACUAAUAGGCAGGUAAAGUCAAGACUGGUUUUUGGGGGUUUCUUUUUUGGUGUUUUUGUUUUUGUUUUUAUUCCUUUGCUCUGAUACUUCCCCCGUCACUUUGCCUGGAGGUGCUUCCAGCCUUUAAGAAGGAGCAGAGAAUUGGAGCUCAGAGUUGUAAGGACCAGCACACUAGUGGCCAUUUUCUGCACAAGCAAAUGGAAUUGCUUUUUUCAGCAUCCAGACUGUGAUAGGUUGCUCUUGAUGGAGGUAGCCACAGUCCUGGAGUACCAUAGGGUAAUGUUCCUUCAGCAGGGCCUGUGAGAUCUAAUGUGAAGAGAGACACAACAUGUGAGAUGGGACUUGGUGUGUGAGGCAUGGAGUCAUUGGAGACUCUUCAGAUUCAGAGGGGAGACUGAAUUGGAUGCUUUCUCUCUUCUCGGCACACUUCUGACAGACCCCUUCAGUCACUGAGGGAGUGCCCCCAAGGUUGGAGAGGCACAUUCCCUUUGGACAGAGGCUACAAGUUGUAGCUUAUUUUCCUGUCCCCUAAACCAAUCCCUAUUCCAUCAACAUGGCAUCCUGCCUAAUUUUCUAAGGGUUAAGUGAUAUGCUUAUUCUUGAAAGCAACUCGGGUGUCUUUUU
This 1888-nucleotide long non-coding RNA is filed under the name Rattus norvegicus (Norway rat). RNAcentral describes it as "long non-coding RNA NONRATT001549". The record is from RNAcentral. Lineage: Eukaryota; Metazoa; Chordata; Mammalia; Rodentia; Muridae.